CCGCCGCAUUCCCGAGGCGUUUCGAGAAAGCCCCCGUGCGAUUAUCGAGACGCACUGAGAGCGUACACGCUGGGACCCGAAAGAUGGUGAACUAUGCCUGGUCAGGUCGAAGUCAGGGGAAACCCUGAUGGAGGACCGAAGCGAUUCUGACGUGCAAAUCGAUCGUCCGAACUGGGUAUAGGGGCGAAAGACUAAUCGAACUAUCUAAUAGCUGGUUCCAUCCGAAGUUUCCCUCAGGAUAGCUGGCGCUCGAGAAACAUGACGGUUUUCGGACCGCCAUUCGCACAGUCUCAUCCGGUAAAGCGAAUGAUUAGAGGCAUUGGGGCCGAAAUGGCCUCAACCUAUUCUCAAACUUUAAAUGGGUGAGAUCUCCUUCUUGCUCGAAGAUGAAGUAGGAGCUCGGAUGGGAGUGCCAAGUGGGCCAAUUUUGGUAAGCAGAACUGGCGCUGUGGGAUGAACCAAACGUCGAGUUAAGGCGCCCAAUGAACGCUCAUCGGAUACCAUAAAAGGCGUUGGUCGCUCAGGACAGC
This 530-nucleotide ribosomal RNA is filed under the name Potamophylax sp. 846105. RNAcentral's name for it is "partial large subunit ribosomal RNA". It matches the Rfam family "Eukaryotic large subunit ribosomal RNA", at positions 750 to 1241 of the family's 3401-position model. Lineage: Eukaryota; Metazoa; Arthropoda; Insecta; Trichoptera; Limnephilidae. The record is from RNAcentral.